GACGAACGCUGGCGGCGUGCUUAACACAUGCAAGUCGAACGGAAAGGCCCUGCUUGCAGGGUACUCGAGUGGCGAACGGGUGAGUAACACGUGGGUGAUCUGCCCUGCACUUCGGGAUAAGCCUGGGAAACUGGGUCUAAUACCGGAUAGGAGCCAUUUUUAGUGUGAUGGUUGGAAAGUUUUUUCGGUGUAGGAUGAGCUCGCGGCCUAUCAGCUUGUUGGUGGGGUAAUGGCCUACCAAGGCGGCGACGGGUAGCCGGCCUGAGAGGGUGGACGGCCACAUUAGGACUGAGAUACGGCCCAGACUCCUACGGGAGGCAGCAGUGGGGAAUAUUGCAUAAUGGGCGCAAGCCUGAUGCAGCGACGCCGCGUGGGGGAUGACGGCCUUCGGGUUGUAAACUCCUUUCGCUAGGGACGAAGCUUUUUGUGACGGUACCUAGAUAAGAAGCACCGGCUAACUACGUG
RNAcentral lists this ribosomal RNA (465 nucleotides) under uncultured bacterium. Its description in RNAcentral is "partial 16S ribosomal RNA". It matches the Rfam family "Bacterial small subunit ribosomal RNA", at positions 28 to 507 of the family's 1533-position model. The record is from RNAcentral.